UUUAAUUUCUUUUUUUGUUAAUUUUUGUUAUUUUUGUUAAUAACAUUAAUUUUUGUGUUUUCUUGCGAUAUUUUGUUGAAUCAUAUUCUUUUACAACGAAAAAUAGUUAACCUUCAAAUAAAACAGGUUUUAGGGAACAAACACGCUCUUCAAGCAGUUUCCCUAAAUUGUAACACAGCCAUUUGGCUUUUUAACUUUUUUUAUAUAAAAAUAAAACAAAAUAAUGGAUUUAGCUCCUGAAAUCGCUUGGUGUCCCUCCGAUUUGUUUCCCCUUACGAUUGCUCUUCUAUAUUGACGUCGUGCCUGAGGAAGGUUUAAUUGUAAAACCGAAACAGCUGUAGCACCGAUUUGCCAGUUUAAAUAAACUAUUUUUCGUCGUACAUUCAACCCCAG
Molecule: long non-coding RNA, 393 nt
Filed under: Onthophagus taurus
Lineage: Eukaryota; Metazoa; Arthropoda; Insecta; Coleoptera; Scarabaeidae
Description: uncharacterized LOC111424970
Source: RNAcentral